GCGGUAAAAGCUCAAAUUUGAAAUCUGGCUCUUUUAGAGUCCGAAUUGUAAUUUGUAGAAGAUGCUUCGGGUGUGGUUCCGGUCUAAGUUCCUUGGAACAGGACGUCAUAGAGGGUGAGAAUCCCGUAUGUGACUGGAUACCUAUGCUCAUGUGAAGCUCUUUCGACGAGUCGAGUUGUUUGGGAAUGCAGCUCAAAAUGGGAGGUAUAUUUCUUCUAAAGCUAAAUAUUGGCCAGAGACCGAUAGCGCACAAGUAGAGUGAUCGAAAGAUGAAAAGCACUUUGGAAAGAGAGUUAAACAGUACGUGAAAUUGUUGAAAGGGAAGCGCUUGCAAUCAGACUUGCACUUGGUGUUCAUCAGGGUCUCGUACCCUGUGUACUUCAUCAAGUUCAGGCCAGCAUCAGUUUGAGUGGUUAGAUAAAGGCUUAGAGAAUGUGGCCCUCUUCGGGGGGUGUUAUAGCUCUAGGUGCAAUGUAGC
This 478-nucleotide ribosomal RNA is filed under the name Botrytis prunorum. RNAcentral describes it as "eukaryotic LSU rRNA". It matches the Rfam family "Eukaryotic large subunit ribosomal RNA", at positions 98 to 579 of the family's 3401-position model. The record is from RNAcentral. Lineage: Eukaryota; Fungi; Ascomycota; Leotiomycetes; Helotiales; Sclerotiniaceae.